RNAcentral lists this ribosomal RNA (572 nucleotides) under Lepidion eques (North Atlantic codling). Its description in RNAcentral is "partial 16S ribosomal RNA". It matches the Rfam family "Bacterial large subunit ribosomal RNA", at positions 1816 to 2597 of the family's 2925-position model. The record is from RNAcentral. RNAcentral also lists the same sequence under 1 other name. Lineage: Eukaryota; Metazoa; Chordata; Actinopteri; Gadiformes; Moridae.
CACCUCUUGUUACACAAAAUAUAAGAGGCCCCGCCUGCCCUGUGACAAUAAGUUUAACGGCCGCGGUAUUUUAACCGUGCGAAGGUAGCGUAAUCACUUGUCUUUUAAAUGGAGACCAGUAUGAAUGGCAUCACGAGGGCUUAACUGUCUCCCCUCUCCAGUCAAUGAAAUUGACCUUCCCGUGCAGAGGCGGGAAUAUUAAUAUAAGACGAGAAGACCCUGUGGAGCUUUAGACCUAAAAUAAACCACGUCUAGUAUACUGAAAUACCAGCAAAAGCCUAGUGGUUACAUAUUGAAGUGUCUUUGGUUGGGGCGACCGCGGGGUAAAACACAACCCCCUUGUGGACUGGGGAUAUUAUCCCUAAUACUCAGAGCCUCUACUCCAAGUAACAGAAAUUCUGACUUUCUGAUCCGGUAUUACCGAUCAACGAACCGAGUUACCCCAGGGAUAACAGCGCAAUCCCCUCUCAGAGCCCUUAUCGACGAGGGGGUUUACGACCUCGAUGUUGGAUCAGGACAUCCUAAUGGUGCAGCCGCUAUUAAGGGUUCGUUUGUUCAACGAUUAAAGUCCU